AACGUGGAUAGUCGCUGCCCCUCUCAUCUUAUCCUCUUCCUCCUCAUCUUCUGUCAGUCACUCGCUCCUCUCUCUGUUUCAGUCAAUGUCCUCUGCUCAUCCUCUUCCUGUCGCGAGCUGGGGUUCGUGGGGUUAGUUGCUAGAUCUUCUCCCACUGCCUCAUCUUCUCCUACUGCUUCAGUCCAUGGCUUCUGUUCUUCCUCUUCCUGUCAUGAGCUAGGGUUCUUGGGGUUUGUUGCUAGGUGUUUCUAAUCGGGCGGUUUGGUUGCUGUUGGAUUGGAUUUCCUGGCAUCUUAUUUUUUUCCAGGUCUUCACAGUCGGGUGUUUUGGUUGCUGUAGGAUCUGCCGUUGCUAUGGUGUCAAUGAUUUUUUUUCUUACACUUUUGCCUGAUGAGGAAUUUCUGGAAGUUUAGGUUUUCGGGAGAUAUAUGGUUUGCCCCAUUUGUCGUUGCCUGGGUGCCCCUUGUGUACCAUUUACGGCAAAUCAAGAAGUUCCUGAAGUUUUCGAUGUUCUGCUUGAUGAGGACUGCUUUAGGAGGAUGUUUUUCUGUAGUGGAUGUUUGGCCGACUGGAGAAGGACUUUGGAAGGAAGAAAUGUGAGCAGAAGAACUACAGAGAGGUCAGAACAGAUCUGAGGUUUGUUCCAGCGUCCAUGGCAGCGGUUGAGUCGUGCGAUGUCGAGGAAGGGAAAGGAAGGAAGAAGACCUAGUGCUGUGCGUUAGAUGGAUGUUGUGUAGUGCGUUAGAUUUUGGGCUGAAUGCAGAUGGCAGAAACAACAUACUCAGAAGUUUUUCUGCGUUGUUGGGCUUUGUUGACUGGCCCCUAUUUUGUGUCAGUCAUUUUCCUAUGC
RNA transcript from Triticum dicoccoides, 850 nucleotides. RefSeq lists it as uncharacterized. The record is from RefSeq and is a predicted model, not a curated record. The transcript has 5 exons. NCBI's taxonomy places the organism in Eukaryota, Viridiplantae, Streptophyta, Magnoliopsida, Poales, Poaceae.